ACCUUCAACAUGAUGAUGAAGAUUUAACAUUAAGACACAAGAAGCUACCAAGCGCACAUCACAACACGCGCGUGUGGGUGUGUGUGUGGGUGUGUUAUUUCAUUCGAUUCGAUUUCUACUUGAAGUUGUUGACGGUGAAGUCCC
Molecule: non-coding RNA, 144 nt
Filed under: Chloropicon laureae
Lineage: Eukaryota; Viridiplantae; Chlorophyta; Chloropicophyceae; Chloropicales; Chloropicaceae
Source: RNAcentral